GCUAACGUCCGUCGUGAAGAGGGAAACAACCCAGACCGCCAGCUAAGGUCCCAAAGUCAUGGUUAAGUGGGAAACGAUGUGGGAAGGCACAGACAGCCAGGAUGUUGGCUUAGAAGCAGCCAUCAUUUAAAGAAAGCGUAAUAGCUCACUGGUCGAGUCGGCCUGCGCGGAAGAUGUAACGGGGCUAAACCAUGCACCGAAGCUGCGGCAGCGACACUAUGGGUUGUUGGGUAGGGGAGCGUUCUGUAAGCCUGCGAAGGUGUGCUGUGAGGCAUGCUGGAGGUAUCAGAAGUGCGAAUGCUGA
RNAcentral lists this ribosomal RNA (304 nucleotides) under Klebsiella pneumoniae. RNAcentral describes it as "partial 23S ribosomal RNA". It matches the Rfam family "Bacterial large subunit ribosomal RNA", at positions 997 to 1299 of the family's 2925-position model. The record is from RNAcentral. Lineage: Bacteria; Pseudomonadati; Pseudomonadota; Gammaproteobacteria; Enterobacterales; Enterobacteriaceae.